Molecule: long non-coding RNA, 513 nt
Organism: Ctenocephalides felis (cat flea)
Lineage: Eukaryota; Metazoa; Arthropoda; Insecta; Siphonaptera; Pulicidae
Exons: 3
Source: RefSeq, a predicted model, not a curated record
AUUAAAUACAUAAUUCAGUAAGCUCUAUUCCUUCAGUAAUCAAAAAUUACAUCGACCAGUAUAUCGAUUAAACAUACGGAUCGAAAGAAUUAAGUGGCCAAUUCUGGGAUAAAUUAGAAUGCUAUGUUACAGAAAUCUCUACAGCUAAUGAAAUAGAAAACUAUAAUCAAGCUUAUCUGAACCUACGGUAUCCAAUUACGAGGUGUGGCAAGCAAGGUAAAUAAAGCGAUACUGCAAAGGUUCAUUUUAAAACAAGAUGAAGGGCAUUGAAUCGAUCAAAAUUAGUAAUAAUCGAUUAAUUCUAUUUAGUAUAUGAAAAUACUGAUGAAGAUUCUGAACCACUUCUCAACAAUGCAGUUAAAAAUCCGUAGGUUCGUCCAAUAACAUUCCAAGAUUUUGAGACUGCUUUGAAACGAGUUCGAGCUAGUGUAUCAGACAUGGACUUAGACCAAUACGUGAAGUGGAAUAAUUUAUACGGUUCUGGAUAAAUAAUUCUGUCUGAAAUCAUAAACA